GACGAACGCUGGCGGUGUGCUUAACACAUGCAAGUGGUGCGACGAACCAGAGCUUGCUCUGGGGCAAAGCCGCGAACGGGUGAGUAACACGUGGGUAAUCUACCCCGAUGACCGGGACAACCCGAGGAAACUCGGGCUAAUACCGGAUGUGGUGCGGAGACAUAAGUCUCUUCACUAAAGGUAGCUUCGGCUUCCGCAUUGGGAGGGGCCCGCGGCCCAUUAGCUUGUUGGUGGGGUCAAGGCCUACCAAGGCAACGAUGGGUAGCUGGUCUGAGAGGACGAUCAGCCACACUGGGACUGAGACACGGCCCAGACUCCUACGGGAGGCAGCAGUGGGGAAUCUUGCGCAAAGCGCGAAAGCGUGACGCAGCAACACCGCGUGAGGGAAGAAGGCCUUAGGGUUGUAAUCCUCUUUCAGAUGGGACGAAGGUUCUCCGGUGAAUAGCCGAGAGGAUUGACGGUACCGUCAGAAGAAGCUCCGGCUAACUACGUG
This 493-nucleotide ribosomal RNA is filed under the name uncultured bacterium. RNAcentral describes it as "partial 16S ribosomal RNA". It matches the Rfam family "Bacterial small subunit ribosomal RNA", at positions 28 to 507 of the family's 1533-position model. The record is from RNAcentral.